This is a non-coding RNA of Macrostomum lignano, 45 nucleotides long. NCBI's taxonomy places the organism in Eukaryota, Metazoa, Platyhelminthes, Macrostomidae. The record is from Rfam.
AAAACGGCCCUUUUCAGGGCCACCUUAAGCCACAGAUAAUAGAGU